This 1540-nucleotide long non-coding RNA is filed under the name Calidris pugnax (ruff). RNAcentral's name for it is "lncRNA (ENSCPUG00000009154.1)". The record is from RNAcentral. Lineage: Eukaryota; Metazoa; Chordata; Aves; Charadriiformes; Scolopacidae.
UUAUUAGCUAAUUGGCUGGGACAUAUCUCAUUUGUAACAGAUGAGGAGAGGAAGGCUGGGAAGCUGUGGUGGGUGGAAGAGAAGCUGGUAAUCUUCUCUUUAAAGUGGCAGAAGAAGUUGUCAGCCUGGUCUGCAGGAGGUAAAUGGGUGGGCUUUCUGUGCUGCUGCAUGGUGAUGUCUUAUCCGGGCAUACGUCCCCAAGAAGUGGAGGAUGUCACCUGUGAGCAAUCACAAAUUGUGCUCUCUUGCUUGUGGAUGAGGCUUUGGAGACCACCUGCUGUUGUGUUUCACGGGCUGAUGCUCCUAGGAGGACUGGAGGAAGACUGGAAAGCAGAAGAGCUGAGUCAUCCCCGGAGAAGACAUUUCCCACAGCAGCUGUUACGCCAUGCGAUCCUGCUAUCUCUUGCAGUCGUUGCUGGAGGAACUCCUGUGUCGCUCCAAGGGCUGAGUGAAGAUAACACGGUCCCAUCCCUCCAGCCGCAGCGCUACGGCAAAGAUAAACUCCCCGCUCGGAGCUCGCUGCAGAACAAGUGUCAGUAAAUCCUCUCUAUUUGGAAGCAUCCCCGUCUGUACUGAGACCUUACCUUUGAAAGGUGAUAAUGUGAAAAACGCCCUGCUACAUUUUGCAAUGAAGAUCUAUUUACAUACGUUAUCUGGGAGCCGUCCUGUCGUGUCUAACACUGUGACUUCUGGAUGACUUUUCUGUGCUUUUCUCUGGCGCUGAGUGCCAGCUUUAUGCCAAUAACCUUGGAUGACAGUUUAUGAGGUCUAAACUCAGUCCCUAUUCCUGUUAUAUAUUGCCUGUGAUUUAAAGCAAGUCACUUAAUUGUCUUGUUACUCAUCUGUAACAUAAUACUGCAUUUUUCCUCCCUGUCAUCUGCCUGCUUUCUGUGGAUCAGACAGUGGUCCAGGCAGGGCUAUCUCUGGUGCAGGUGUCUCAGCAGACUGUUUGAAACCAGUAAAGUACUUCAGCUGAUUAACUUCUGGAUUUGGAAUUAAAGAUAUUUCCGUUUCCCCUGGUUCCUUGCUAACUGGACUGUGAGCUUCUGCAAUCCCAACUUCUUGAUUUAGCUGAUUAUGUGUGAAUCUUGGCUCCUGGGGCUUUUGGGGAUUUUGUCUUGUCUUUUAAAGGUACAUCACGAGCACCAGUGCAAAAAGAGGCAGAGGGUGAUAUCCCCAGAUGGCUGGAAUCUAUUAUUUCUUCAAAUACAAAGCAGUUUGGGCUAAUCUCAUGGAUUUCCCCAGGCUCGAUUUAUCAGCCUUGUGAUGGAGAUGGACGCUUGCAGAACCUGGAGCCAGCAGAGAAGCUACUUCUCCUGUCUGCAGACCAGGUGAAAUUUAUAUAUAUCCAUUCAACAGACAGAGGAGGCAAAAAAGCCAUCAAUGAAGUGACCAACAGAAGCAAAGUUGUGCCAAAAGCACCAACCACUGAACCUGGGAGGAAGCGCCGGGGGAUACGCGCAGGGCAGGCGUGCAGCCCCCGGCACCGAGGGACUUGGAGCUCGGAGCUUCUUGGAGCUGACACCAUCAGUAUAAAAAC